RNA transcript from Ipomoea triloba (trilobed morning glory), 3502 nucleotides. It is a transcript of the gene named brassinosteroid LRR receptor kinase-like, with no coding region annotated. Lineage: Eukaryota; Viridiplantae; Streptophyta; Magnoliopsida; Solanales; Convolvulaceae. The transcript has 3 exons. The record is from RefSeq and is a predicted model, not a curated record.
CGAGGCUGCGGGAUGAGUUCAAUAUGCAUAAUUGUUUCAACUUUCAAGGAUCACCAAAAGAAUGAGAAAACCCACACAUUAAACCAAAGAUGAAGGCAAAGAAGACUAUAAUGUUUUCUUUCUCUGUUUCUAUCUGCAGCCAGUCAAUCUGUGUUUUUCUCCUUCCAUUUGUGUUGCUCAUCUUCUUUCUUCCGCCAUCUUCACCAGCUCCUCCCAAUCACAAUGGGCUUCACAGGGACUCGCAGUUGCUAUUAUCCUUCAAAGCUACCAUUUUUAACCAAAGCCCACUUCAAAACUGGGUAUCCUCCAAAAAUCCCUGUAGCUUCACUGGCAUUACAUGCAAAGGAUCAAGGGUCUCUUCUAUAAAUCUCACAGACACUAUGCUCAGCAUAGAUUUUGGCUUGGUUUCUACUUACUUGCUCAGUCUUGAAAACUUGGAGAAUCUUGUGUUGAAGAACACCAAUCUCAGUGGCUCUCUCACAUUUGCCUUAAAAUCCCAAUGCUCUGCUUCUCUUAGCUACAUAGAUCUAGCUGAAAACUCUAUCUCAGGGCCUGUUUCUGAUAUCUAUAGCCUUGGUCUUCGGUGCUAUAAUCUCAAGGCCCUCAACCUUUCCAGCAACUCCAUGGACCCUCCUGGGAGGGAGGUUUCUGCGGGUGGAGCAACCAUUAGACUUCAAAGUCUUGAUCUUUCUUACAACAAAAUUUCAGGGCAGAACAUAUUUGGUAUGGUGUCCCCCAGUGAUUUUCCUGAUCUUGAGUUGUUGUCUCUUAAGGGUAAUAAAUUAUCAGGAAAAUUUUGGGUAUUGAGUUUUAGGAAUUUGUCAUAUUUGGACCUUUCUGCCAAUAAUUUCUCUGAAAAUUUCCCUCCAUUUCAAGACUGCUCUAGUUUACAACAUCUUGAUUUAUCAUCCAACAACUUCAGUGGUAAUAUUGAUGCCUCCCUUUCUUCAUGCUCCAACCUCAGUUUCCUCAAUCUGUCCAACAAUAAACUCUCUGGUGAGUUGCCUGUUGAAACCCUACUAAAUUUGACUAGCUUGAAGACAUUGGUUUUAUCAUUCAAUAAUUUUGUUGGUGGCUUAUCUAAGUUAUUUUCUAGCUUGGUAAACUUAGAGACCUUAGAUUUGAGUUCUAAUAACAUCUCUGGUUUGAUACCCUCUGGGAUUUGUAAAGACCCUAAGAAUAGGUUGAAGGUGUUGUACCUUCAGAACAACAUGUUCACUGGUCCAAUACCUGAGAGUCUAAGUAACUGUACCCAAUUGGAAUCUCUUGAUCUUAGCUUGAAUUACCUUAAAGGGAAGAUACCAUCAAGCCUCGGGUCCUUGUUGAAGCUCAAGGAUUUGAUCAUUUGGUUGAAUCAGCUUGAAGGGGAAAUCCCAAGGGAGCUAAUGUACUUGCAGUCUUUGGAAAAUCUGAUUCUUGAUUUCAAUGAAUUGUCAGGGUCAAUCCCUGAAAGUCUGAGCAACUGUACUAAUUUGAAAUGGAUUUCUUUGUCGGAUAAUUUGUUGAGUGGUGCUAUACCAGCUUCAUUAGGGCGCUUGUCUAAUCUAGGCAUUCUGAAGUUGGGAAACAACUCCAUCUCUGGGAACAUACCUGCUGAGUUGGGGAAUUGCAGCAGCUUGUCAUGGUUGAAUCUGAACACCAAUUUCUUGAAUGGGUCUAUUCCACCUGCUCUGUUCAAACAAUCUGGCAAGAUUGCAACUGAAUUACAUACCGGGAAGCAAUUUGGGUAUUUUCGAAAUGGUGGAAGUGAGCAGUGCCACGGUACAGGAAAUUUACUCGAAUUUAGUGGGAUUACACAGGAUCGCCUGGACAGGAUUUUAGCCAGGAACCCCUGCAAUUUUACUAGAGUUUCAAAACAAAUAUUUGACCAAUACGGAUCCAUGAUUUUUCUUGACCUUUCUUACAAUAAGUUGGGAGGCAGUAUUCCGAAGGAAUUAGGUUCCAUGCACAAUCUCAGUGUUCUGAAUUUAGGGCAUAAUGAUCUCUCUGGUCCAAUACCUCAAGAACUUGGAGGCUUGGAGUAUGUUGGGGUUAUUGAUCUGUCACACAACCAACUCAAUGGCUCAAUUCCAGAAACUUUGAACAACCUCUCAUUUCUUUCGGGUAUUGAUCUGUCUAACAACCAACUUUCUGGAAUGAUACCUUGUUCAGGUCAAUUAGCAACAUUUAUUGGAGAACUGUUUGCGAAUAAUUCUGGCCUUUCUGAUUGCUAUCAUCCUCAUUAUGGCCGAGAAUCAAGUUCAAGUUCAAGUUCUAAGCCUAGUAGAUCAAAGAAAAAGCAUUACAUCAUUAUACCUUGUGCUGUAAUUGCAGGAGUACUUAUUGGGUUAGUAAUUCUGUUACUUGUGUUCAGACGUGGAGUGGAAGGGAGAGAGGACAAUGAUGAAGAAGAAUGGAGUAUGAUUUCAUUUCAAAGGUUGGAAUUCAGUAAAUGGGAAAUCUUGGCCGGUCUGACAGAUGAAAAUUUGAUUGGAAAAGGAGGGUCAGCAAAAGUAUAUAGAGUGAUCACAAGGCAAGGCCAAAGUGUUGCAGUUAAAAGUAUAUGGGAUGAACGAAAGCCAGACCAUGGGUUGGAGAAACAAUUCCUAGCAGAGGUUAAGAUCCUUGGGGAGAUUAGGCACUACAGCAUAGUGAAACUGUUAUGCUGCAUCAAAGGAAAGAACAAAAGGCUUCUUGUGUAUGAAUACAUGGACAAACAAUGUCUUUAUAAAUGGUUGCAUGGAAAGAAGAAAGGCUUAACUACACAAGUCUUGCAGUGGGAGACAAGGCUAAAAAUUGCCAUUGGAGCUGCACAGGGGCUUUGCUAUAUGCAUCAUGAUUGCAAUCCACCCAUUGUUCAUCGAGAUAUCAAGUCCAGUAACAUACUUGUGGACUCUGAAUUCAAUGCCAAGAUUGCAGACUUUGGACUGGCUAAGAUUUUAGCAAGUCAACGAGAUCCAGAAACAGCAUCUGCUGUUGUGGGAACCUUUGGUUACAUUGCCCCUGAGUAUGGCAACACAAGAAAAGUGAACGUGAAGAGCGACAUUUAUAGCUUUGGUGUAGUACUCUUGGAAUUGGCAACUGGAAAAGAAGCGGUUACUAGGGAUGAGGACAUGAACCUAGCACAAUGGGCACACAAACACCAAAGAGACGGAAAUUCAGCUGUAGAUGUCCUGGACAAGGAGAUUAAUGAUCCACGUUAUUUGGAGGCAGCAACCACCGUUUUCAAAUUAGGCCUUGCGUGUACUUUGAGUUCACCUUCAAGUAGGCCAUCCAUGAAAGAUAUUUUGCAGAUUCUUCAAAGAUGUAGUGAGAAUAGCCAUUUGUUAUCACACAGCUGAUGCAUGUACAAGACAAACAAAAGCAUUGUAACAAGAAUAGGUUUCAACCCUCUUUCGCCUCUUCAUCAUGCCUUCUUAUUCCUCAUCCUCCUUUUCUCCCAAGCAAAUUCAGAAUCUUCAACCACUGAAAGGGCUAUUUUACUUAGCCUAAACCAACACUGGGGAAAUCCAUUUGACGAAUG